GACGAACGCUGGCGGCGUGCUUAACACAUGCAAGUCGAACGGAAAGGCCCUGCUUUUGUGGGGUGCUCGAGUGGCGAACGGGUGAGUAACACGUGAGUAACCUGCCCUUGACUUUGGGAUAACUUCAGGAAACUGGGGCUAAUACCGGAUAGGAGCUCCUGCUGCAGGGUGGGGGUUGGAAAGUUUCGGCGGUGGGGGAUGGACUCGCGGGUUAUCAGCUUGUGGGUGGGGUAGUGGCUUACCAAGGCUUUGACGGGUAGCCGGCCUGAGAGGGUGACCGGCCACAUUGGGACUGAGGUACGGCCCAGACUCCUACGGGAGGCAGCAGUGGGGAAUAUUGCACAAUGGGCGGAAGCCUGAUGCAGCAACGCCGCGUGCGGGAUGACGGCCUUCGGGUUGUAAACCGCUUUCGCCUGUGACGAAGCGUGAGUGACGGUAAUGGGUAAAGAAGCACCGGCUAACUACGUG
RNAcentral lists this ribosomal RNA (468 nucleotides) under uncultured bacterium. Its description in RNAcentral is "partial 16S ribosomal RNA". It matches the Rfam family "Bacterial small subunit ribosomal RNA", at positions 28 to 507 of the family's 1533-position model. The record is from RNAcentral.